RNAcentral lists this ribosomal RNA (471 nucleotides) under uncultured bacterium. Its description in RNAcentral is "bacterial SSU rRNA". It matches the Rfam family "Bacterial small subunit ribosomal RNA", at positions 328 to 793 of the family's 1533-position model. The record is from RNAcentral.
GCAGAGCACUCCUAGGGAGGCAGCAGUGGGGAAUAUUGCACAAUGGGCGCAAGCCUGAUGCAGCCAUGCCGCGUGUAUGAAGAAGGCCUUCGGGUUGUAAAGUACUUUCAGCAGUGAGGAAGGUGGAUAUGUUAAUAGCAUAUUCAUUUGACGUUAGCUGCAGAAGAAGCACCGGCUAACUCCGUGCCAGCAGCCGCGGUAAUACGGAGGGUGCGAGCGUUAAUCGGAAUUACUGGGCGUAAAGCGCAUGCAGGUGGUUUGUUAAGUCAGAUGUGAAAGCCCGGGGCUCAACCUCGGAAUUGCAUUUGAAACUGGCAAACUAGAGUACUGUAGAGGGGGUAGAAUUUCAGGUGUAGCGGUGAAAUGCGUAGAGAUCUGAAGGAAUACCGGUGGCGAAGGCGGCCCCCUGGACAGAUACUGACACUCAGAUGCGAAAGCGUGGGGAGCAAACAGGAUUAGAUACCCUGGUAG